This is a small nuclear RNA of Sapajus apella (tufted capuchin), 107 nucleotides long. NCBI's taxonomy places the organism in Eukaryota, Metazoa, Chordata, Mammalia, Primates, Cebidae. The record is from RefSeq and is a predicted model, not a curated record.
GAGCUAUCUGUGAGAGCACAUAUACUAAAAUUGGAACAGUGCAGAGAAGAUUAUCAUGGCUCCUGUGCAAGAAUGAUGUGCAAAUUUGUGAAGUGUUCCAUAUUUUA